RNAcentral lists this long non-coding RNA (214 nucleotides) under Phoenix dactylifera (date palm). RNAcentral describes it as "long non-coding RNA (PDAC_LNC010326)". The record is from RNAcentral. Lineage: Eukaryota; Viridiplantae; Streptophyta; Magnoliopsida; Arecales; Arecaceae.
AAAAAUAAUAGAAAUUAAAAACUUUAGCAUAAAUAGAUCUCUCUAUUAAACUAAAACUAAAAAUCCCAAGACAACAUGCUCUCAAAAUAAAACUCUUACUAAAAACAUUACUCUCAAUCAAAAUAAAAAUAAAUAAAUAAGAACAACAUGAUACCCAAAACAGAACGAUUAAACACCAAUUAAAAAUAUAACCUUUAAAAGAAAAACAACUAAA